This 566-nucleotide ribosomal RNA is filed under the name uncultured bacterium. RNAcentral's name for it is "bacterial SSU rRNA". It matches the Rfam family "Bacterial small subunit ribosomal RNA", at positions 917 to 1482 of the family's 1533-position model. The record is from RNAcentral.
GGGCCCGCACAAGCGGUGGAGCAUGUGGUUUAAUUCGAAGCAACGCGAAGAACCUUACCAGGUCUUGACAUCCCACUGACCGGCUUAGAGAUAGGCUUUUCCCUUCGGGGACAGUGGUGACAGGUGGUGCAUGGUUGUCGUCAGCUCGUGUCGUGAGAUGUUGGGUUAAGUCCCGCAACGAGCGCAACCCUUGAUCUUAGUUGCCAGCAUUCAGUUGGGCACUCUAAGGUGACUGCCGGUGAUAAACCGGAGGAAGGUGGGGAUGACGUCAAAUCAUCAUGCCCCUUAUGACCUGGGCUACACACGUGCUACAAUGGAUGGUACAAAGAGCUGCAAACUCGCGAGGGUAAGCGAAUCUCAUAAAGCCAUUCUCAGUUCGGAUUGUAGGCUGCAACUCGCCUACAUGAAGCCGGAAUCGCUAGUAAUCGUAGAUCAGCAUGCUACGGUGAAUACGUUCCCGGGCCUUGUACACACCGCCCGUCACACCACGAAAGUUUGUAACACCCAAAGUCGGUGAGGUAACCGCAAGGAGCCAGCCGCNUAAGGUGGGAUAGAUGAUUGGGGUG